GAUGAACGCUAGCGGCAGGCCUAAUACAUGCAAGUCGAGGGGCAGCGGGAGUAGCAAUACUUGCCGGCGACCGGCGCACGGGUGCGUAACACGUAUACAAUCUGCCUUCUACUGGGGGAUAGCCUUUCGAAAGAGAGAUUAAUACCCCAUAAUAAAUGAAAUAGCAUUAUUUUAUUUUGAAAGAUCCGUCGGUAGAAGAUGAGUAUGCGUCUGAUUAGCUAGUUGGUGAGGUAAUGGCUCACCAAGGCUACGAUCAGUAGGGGAUCUGAGAGGACUACCCCCCACACUGGUACUGAGACACGGACCAGACUCCUACGGGAGGCAGCAGUAAGGAAUAUUGGACAAUGGAGGCAACUCUGAUCCAGCCAUGCCGCGUGAAGGAUGAAGGCCCUAUGGGUCGUAAACUUCUUUUGUACGAGAGAAAACCAUUUCACGUGUGAGAUGUUGAUAGUAUCGUAAGAAUAAGGAUCGGCUAACUUCGUG
Molecule: ribosomal RNA, 483 nt
Filed under: uncultured organism
Description: bacterial SSU rRNA
Rfam family: Bacterial small subunit ribosomal RNA
Source: RNAcentral